RNAcentral lists this transfer RNA (58 nucleotides) under Salmo salar (Atlantic salmon). It matches the Rfam family "tRNA", at positions 8 to 63 of the family's 71-position model. Rfam says of the family: Transfer RNA (tRNA) molecules are approximately 80 nucleotides in length. Their secondary structure includes four short double-helical elements and three loops (D, anti-codon, and T loops). Further hydrogen bonds mediate the characteristic L-shaped molecular structure. tRNAs have two regions of fundamental functional importance: the anti-codon, which is responsible for specific mRNA codon recognition, and the 3' end, to which the tRNAs corresponding amino acid is attached (by aminoacyl-tRNA synthetases). tRNAs cope with the degeneracy of the genetic code in two manners: having more than one tRNA (with a specific anti-codon) for a particular amino acid; and 'wobble' base-pairing, i.e. permitting non-standard base-pairing at the 3rd anti-codon position. The record is from Rfam by way of RNAcentral. Lineage: Eukaryota; Metazoa; Chordata; Actinopteri; Salmoniformes; Salmonidae.
UAGCUCUGUUGGUAGAGCGUGGUGUUUGCAACACCAGGGUUGUGGGUUCGAUUCCCAC